GAAGGAGAGGUCAGCCGGCAGCCGCCUCCUCCCGCUCCCACCCCGGCAGGGCCUCCCCCAGCCUCGGAGAAGGCGGCGUGAAACCAACUCCGCUAAACUCACGCUUUUUAGAGCGGGCCUGAUGGCGCUUGCGAGGAUGCGAUUUCUUCAUGACCCUAAAUUUGUCAUUUCACAACCAAAAGAUUGUUUUCCUGGCUGUUUAACUUUCUGCUUGAUACCCUUUCUUGGAGCAUGGCUACUUGGAAACAGCUUAAUUUGAAGUGAACCUGCACUGUUCAGAUACUGUAGGAGAAGAUAAGGACACAGACACUGGGGAACAGCCAAUGUUCAAGCUUUGACAGCUGUGCUUGAAACCUUAACUGUGCUUAACUGUACCUGCAGCACACUUCUGUUUAAUCACCUCUGAGAAAAUGGGUUCUAUUUGCUUC
Molecule: non-coding RNA, 428 nt
Organism: Zonotrichia albicollis (white-throated sparrow)
Lineage: Eukaryota; Metazoa; Chordata; Aves; Passeriformes; Passerellidae
Source: RefSeq, a predicted model, not a curated record